UCAUUCACAAAUUCCUUACGUUAUAAUGAC
RNAcentral lists this non-coding RNA (30 nucleotides) under Mus musculus (house mouse). Lineage: Eukaryota; Metazoa; Chordata; Mammalia; Rodentia; Muridae. The record is from RNAcentral.